Molecule: unclassified non-coding RNA, 411 nt
Filed under: Hevea brasiliensis (rubber tree)
Lineage: Eukaryota; Viridiplantae; Streptophyta; Magnoliopsida; Malpighiales; Euphorbiaceae
Source: RNAcentral
UUGCGAAUGAAGUUGAGCCCAGUAACCCCCGUGUAGCAUAUCUAUGUCGAUUUUAUGCUUUUGAGAAAGCUCAUCGGUUAGAUCCCACUUCAAGUGGACGUGGUGUUCGACAAUUUAAAACUUCCCUCCUGCAGCGACUUGAAAGGGAAAAUGAUCCAACUUUGAUCGGAAGGGUUAAAAAAAGUGAUGCACGUGAAAUGCAGAGCUUUUACCAGCAUUACUACAAGAAGUACAUUCAAGCUUUGCAAAAUGCUGCUGAGAAAGCAGAUCGUGCACAACUUACCAAGGCAUACCAAACUGCAAAUGUACUCUUUGAGGUUUUGAAAGCAGUUAAUCAGACUCAAGCAGUAGAAGUUGAUCGGGAGAUUUUGGAAGCUCAUGAUAAAGUUGCCGAGAAGACACAGAUCUUAG